This is a long non-coding RNA of Nomascus leucogenys (northern white-cheeked gibbon), 442 nucleotides long. RefSeq lists it as uncharacterized. The transcript is spliced from 3 exons. Lineage: Eukaryota; Metazoa; Chordata; Mammalia; Primates; Hylobatidae. The record is from RefSeq and is a predicted model, not a curated record.
AUCCUCCCACCUCAGCCUCUUCAGUAGCUGGAGCUACAGAUAUACUCACUAAUGUAUACUCAUACACAAGACCAGCAUGUCCCAAGCAAUCUACAGUGAGAUCUUCAAAAGAAGAUCUUCGGAGCCCUCACCAGAAUCACCCUUAAUGAAGAGUCACGGGGAGAAGACGUCCACACACGCGUGACAAGACAGGCCUGGAACAGAGCCUUCCCGCACAGCCUGAGAAGGGACCCACCCUGCUGACACCUUGAUCUUGGACCCAUGGCCUCCAGUACUGCGAGAUGGUCCAUGGAAGAGUUGUCUUCAAGAAAACUGCUCUCUGGUGCCAAAAAGUUUGGAGACCGCUGAUGUAAAUGUUUCUAAGAAUAGUUAAGCAACUUAAACUUUACAUGCUACGAAGAAUACAGGUUUAAAUGCUAAUAAAAAUAGGUGCAAAUGAAAA